UACAGAGGGUGCAAGCGUUGUUCGGAAUUAUUGGGCGUAAAGCGCGUGUAGGCGGCUUUGCAAGUCGGGUGUGAAAGCCCUCAGCUCAACUGAGGAAGUGCGCCCGAAACUGCAGAGCUUGAGUGCCGGAGAGGGUGGCGGAAUUCCCCAAGUAGAGGUGAAAUUCGUAGAUAUGGGGAGGAACACCGGUGGGCGAAGGCGGC
RNAcentral lists this ribosomal RNA (203 nucleotides) under uncultured bacterium. RNAcentral's name for it is "partial 16S ribosomal RNA". It matches the Rfam family "Bacterial small subunit ribosomal RNA", at positions 524 to 725 of the family's 1533-position model. The record is from RNAcentral.